UGGGGAAUAUUGCACAAUGGGGGAAACCCUGAUGCAGCGACGCCGCGUGAACGAAGAAGGUAUUCGUAUCGUAAAGUUCUGUCCUAUGGGAAGAUAAUGACAGUACCAUAGAAGAAAGCUCCGGCUAAAUACGUGCCAGCAGCCGCGGUAAUACGUAUGGAGCGAGCGUUGUCCGGAAUUAUUGGGCGUAAAGGGUACGCAGGCGGUUUAAUAAGUCGAAUGUUAAAGAUCGGGGCUCAACCCCGGAAAGCAUUGGAAACUGAUAAACUUGAGUAGUGGAGAGGAAAGUGGAAUUCCUGGUGUAGUGGUGAAAUACGUAGAUAUUAGGAGGAAUACCAGUAGCGAAGGCGACUUUCUGGACACAAACUGACGCUGAGGUGCGAAAGCGUGGGGAGCAAACAGG
This 403-nucleotide ribosomal RNA is filed under the name bacterium. RNAcentral describes it as "partial 16S ribosomal RNA". It matches the Rfam family "Bacterial small subunit ribosomal RNA", at positions 355 to 776 of the family's 1533-position model. The record is from RNAcentral.